RNAcentral lists this unclassified non-coding RNA (431 nucleotides) under Hevea brasiliensis (rubber tree). Lineage: Eukaryota; Viridiplantae; Streptophyta; Magnoliopsida; Malpighiales; Euphorbiaceae. The record is from RNAcentral.
UUUUGAACAUCAAGUGAUUAAAAAUAACAACAGUUUAGAAAAAAAAUCUUCAUGACCUCAGUAAGCUCUGAGCAGCUUCCAAACUCAGUUCUUCAUCCACAAGUUUCCUGUAAACUUGUCGAAAUGUCUUGCAAAAUUCUUCGGCUUCUGCUGGAUUCAUCUUUUUCUCCGCAGCUUCUUUUAGUUUGCCCCAAAAUGCUUCACCAUGGCCCAUUGCUCGAGUAUUGGACUCUACUACACAUCCCUUACUCUGACCAUCUUGCAAUUGCUUCACCUCCUCUUUCUGCUUGGACUGGGAAGUUGAUUGACUUGACGCAUCCAAAUCAAGAUAAUAAUCUGGAGAGCGAACGGCUGGGAAGAGCUCAAGAAGGCGUUGAAAUUCUUGUUCAUCCAUAUUCUUGAUCCCUCUGCUGCGCUAAAACCCCCCUUUG